GGUUGAACAUCCAGCAGCACGUGAAACUAGAUCAGCCUUGCGCACAGUUACCACAGUGCACAGGGUCUCUUACGUGGAAAGAUUGGGGAAAUUAUUUCUACACACGUUUGUCAUGGGAUUGCAGGGUCCUUCUUCCUGGGAAUUCAGCUUCUUCAGCCAGUGGAUUCUUGGUCUGAGAUCUGGCCCAAGUCUGGAAAUUGACAAGAGAUUGUGCCUGUUUAUUGAGGCAGGUUUUUAGCCUCGCAGUCACCUAUCCUUGAUUUUUUGUUGUUGUUUAAAUAAAUUAAGCAUCAUUAUUGUUGACUGUUCAUAAACAUGGCCCCUAGAAACAUUAGGCUCUUAAAAAAUGUAUUAGGCUGUUCUUCCAUUGCUAUAAAGAAAUACUUGGGACUGUAUAUUUAUUUUUUAAAAAAGAGGCUAAAAUGGCUUACAGCUCUACAGGGUGUACAGGAAACAUGAUGCUGGUAUUUGUUCAGCUUCUGGGGAGGCUGCAGGAAACUUACAAUCAUGGCAGAAGGUGAAGGGGAAGCAGGCACAUCACAUGGUCAGAGCAGGGGCAAAAGAGUAAAGGUGGCGCUGCACACUUUUAAAUGAUAACAUCUCAGGAGAAUUCACACACUAUUGCGAGGACAGUACCAAGGGGGAUGGUGCAAAACCAUUCAAGAGAAAUCUGUCCCCAUGAUCAAAUCACCCCCUAUCAGGCCCCACUUCCAACACUGAGGAUUGCAUUUCAAUAUGAGACUGUGUGGGAACAUUCCAAACUAUCUCAGAGGUUUAUACUGUUCAGGUUGCUACUGCAACCUUGCUACACGUUACAAUAAUUGCACCCAGCUUGCUAUUGAUGGUGAAGUGCCUAUCAUCUCACUACUAUCAGGAAUCACAGUUAUGUAACAGUAACUCUCCUGUUAGCCUUGGCCUCUAGAGAUUAUCCACCAAAACUUCUCAAUAAUUGUGUUACCCCUCUCACAAUCACAUUGCUUAUUGCUUUGCUACAUAGAUUGUUCCUUAAGCCCUCCUUUGGAACAGAGUUGGCUGGUGGAUUUUCCUGCCCUACAUAGUCUAUCCCUUCUGACAUGCUCCUUUCCAUAAACCUUUUGAUCCCAUCCUUUACCAUCUGCCAUGGCACUCCUGGCAUUUUACUUCACCUAGUGUGGGCCAUCACCUGUUUCAGGAUUUCAAAAAGAGUCAUGCACUCUCCAGAGUUUCUUGCCAGGAUGUUAUUUCCUGUAUCACAAAUAAUUGCUCUCAUUUUGUUAAACUCUUCCUUAUCUAACUUUAUAUUCUACCCUUCACGAUUUAUUAUCCUCAAAUUCCAUUCCCAUGAAUACUUUCCUGGCUCCUUCUUGUACAUACUGUCUUCUGGCGUACAGUUCCUUUUCUCCCAUGGCAGGCCCAGCACUUCCUAGAGAGGAACACAGAUGCGAGGUGUCAGGUGACACUCCUGGCAGCAGGGGGAAUGAGUGCCUUUUUAUUUUUUUAAGUAACAAUU
RNAcentral lists this long non-coding RNA (1489 nucleotides) under Homo sapiens (human). RNAcentral's name for it is "HSALNT0127651". Lineage: Eukaryota; Metazoa; Chordata; Mammalia; Primates; Hominidae. The record is from RNAcentral.